UACGUAGGGUGCAAGCGUUUGUCCGGAAUUAUUGGGCGUAAAGAGCUCGUAGGCGGUUUGUCGCGUCUGCUGUGAAAACUGGGGGCUCAACCCCCAGCCUGCAGUGGGUACGGGCAGACUUGAGUGUUUCAGGGGAGACUGGAAUUCCUGGUGUAGCGGUGAAAUGCGCAGAUAUCAGGAGGAACACCGGUGGCGAAGGCGGGUCUCUGGGAACAACUGACGCUGAGGAACGAAAGCGUGGGUAGCAAACAGG
This 253-nucleotide ribosomal RNA is filed under the name uncultured bacterium. Its description in RNAcentral is "partial 16S ribosomal RNA". It matches the Rfam family "Bacterial small subunit ribosomal RNA", at positions 524 to 776 of the family's 1533-position model. The record is from RNAcentral.